Molecule: transfer RNA, 72 nt
Filed under: Anteliomys chinensis (Sichuan red-backed vole)
Lineage: Eukaryota; Metazoa; Chordata; Mammalia; Rodentia; Cricetidae
Description: tRNA-Gln
Rfam family: tRNA
About the family: Transfer RNA (tRNA) molecules are approximately 80 nucleotides in length. Their secondary structure includes four short double-helical elements and three loops (D, anti-codon, and T loops).
Source: RNAcentral
UAGAAUGGGGUGUAACGGGUAGCACGGAGAACUUUGGAUUCUCAGGUAUAGGUUCGAUUCCUAUUGUUCUAG